This 246-nucleotide ribosomal RNA is filed under the name uncultured Bradyrhizobium sp. RNAcentral describes it as "partial 16S ribosomal RNA". It matches the Rfam family "Bacterial small subunit ribosomal RNA", at positions 142 to 404 of the family's 1533-position model. Lineage: Bacteria; Pseudomonadati; Pseudomonadota; Alphaproteobacteria; Hyphomicrobiales; Nitrobacteraceae. The record is from RNAcentral.
AACAACCCUGGGAAACUAGGGCUAAUACCGGAUACGAGCGAGAGCUGAAAGGUUUACCGCCGAAGGAUCGGCCCGCGUCUGAUUAGCUAGUUGGUGAGGUAACGGCUCACCAAGGCGACGAUCAGUAGCUGGUCUGAGAGGAUGAUCAGCCACAUUGGGACUGAGACACGGCCCAAACUCCUACGGGAGGCAGCAGUGGGGAAUAUUGGACAAUGGGCGCAAGCCUGAUCCAGCCAUGCCGCGUGA